CCAGUAGCCAACCUCCCUGGACGUGGCCGCAAGAGGAAAAUUGAUGACAAAUUGAAGAGACGGAUCGUUGGAAUUGUAUCCAAAGAGCCCAGAGCAACCUCCAAAGAAAUUAAAGGUGAACUCCAAGGCCAAGGUACAUCAGUGUCAGAUCGCACCAUUCGUCGUUGUUUGAGCCAAAGUGGACUUCAUGGGAGACGACCAAGGAGGACACCACUGCUGAAAAAAACUCAUAAAAAAGCCAGACUGGAAUUUGCAAAAAUGCAUGUUGACAAGCCACAAAGCUUCUGGGAGAAUGUCCUUUGGACAGAUGAGACCAAACUGAAGCUUUUUGGUAAGGCACAUCAACUCUAUGUUCAUAGACUCAAAAACCAAGCAUACGAAGAAAAGAACACUGUCCCUACGGUGAAACAUGGAGGAGGCUCAGUAAUGUUUUGGGGCUGCUUUGCUGCAUCUGGCACAGGGUGUCUUGAAAGUGUGCAAGGUACGAUGAAAUCUGAAGACUAUCAAGGCAUUCUGGAGAGAAAUGUGCUGCCGAGUGUCAGAAAGCUUGGUCUCAGUCGCAGGUCAUGGGCCUUCCAACAGGACAACGAUCCAAAACACACAGCCAAAAACACCCAAGAAUGGCUGAGAGAAAAGCGUUGGACUAUUCUAAAGUGGCCUUCUAUGAGCCCAGAUCUGAAUCCCAUUGAACAUAUGUGGAAGGAGCUGAAACAUGCCAUUUGGAGAAGACACCCAUCAAACCUGAGACAACUGGAGCUGUUUGCUCAUGAGGAGUGGGCCAAAAUACCUGUUGACAGCUGCAGAACGCUCAUUGACAAAUACAGAAAUCGUUUAAUUGCAGUGAUUGCCUCAAAAGGUUGUGCAACAAAAUAUUAAGUUAUGGGUACCGU
Long non-coding RNA from Acanthochromis polyacanthus (spiny chromis), 890 nucleotides. RefSeq lists it as uncharacterized. The record is from RefSeq and is a predicted model, not a curated record. Lineage: Eukaryota; Metazoa; Chordata; Actinopteri; Pomacentridae. The transcript has 3 exons.